AAACAUGCUCAAGUAAAGAAGCCUGCUAACACCCACCAAACCAAGAUGGCCAUGAGAGUGACCCACCUCGUCCUCAUUGCUACAUUCCCUCCAGUGCCUUGACAAUUUACAAAUGCCACGGUAAUGUCAGGAAGUUACCCUAUAUGGUCUAAAAAGGGGAGGCAUGAAUAAUCUGUCAGGCCUCUGAGCCCAAGCUAAGCCAUCAUAUCCCCUGUGACCUGCAUGUAUACAUCCAGAUGGCCUGAAGCAACUGAAGAUCCACAAAAGAACUGAAAACAGCCUUAACUGAUGACAUUCCACCAUUGUGAUUUGUUCCUGCCCCACCCUAAGUGAUAGGCUAUGUUCUCCCCCGCCCUUAAGAAGGUACUUUGUAAUAUUCUCCCCCGCCCUUAAGAAUGUACUUUGUACACCUAUCCCAAACGUAUAAAAACUAAUGAUAAUCCCACCAACCUUUGCUGACUCCUUUCUCGGACUCAGCCCACCUGCACCCAGGUGAAAUAAACAGCCCUGUUGCUCACACAAAGCCUGUUGGUGGUCUCUUCACAAGGAUGCGUGUGACAUUUGGUGCCAAAACCCAGGACAGGAGGACUCCUUCAGGAGACCAGUCCCCUGUCUUCGCCCUCACUCCGUGACCUCAGGUCCUCAGACCAACCAGCCCAAGGAACAUCUCACCAACUUCAAAUUGGGUAAGCAGUCUUUUCACUCUUCUCAUGCCUCUCUUGCUACCCUUCAAUCUUCCUCUCUUGCUACCCUUCAAUCUCCCUGUCCUUCCAAUUCCAAUUCUUUUUCCUCUCUAGUAGAGACAAGGAGACGGCCAGGUGCGGUGGCUCACGCCUGCAAUCCCAGCUCUCAGGGAGGCUAAGAGGCGGGAGGAUAGCUUGAGCCCAGGAGUUCGAGACCUGCCUGGGCAAUAUAGCGAGACCCCGUUCUCCAGAAAAAGGAAAAAAAAAAAAAAAGAGACAAGGAGACACAUUUUAUCCGUGGACCCAAAACUCUGGCGCCAGUCACGGACUCGGGAAGAUAGUCUUCCCUUGGUGUUUAAUCACUGCGGAGAUGCCUGCCUGAUUAUUCACCCACCCUCCACUGGUGUCUGAUCACUGCGGGGACACCUGCCUUAGUCAUUCACCCACAUUCCCUUGGUGGCAAGUCAAUUGCAGGGAUGCCUGCUUUGGCUGCUCACCCACAUUGCAGCCCAGGGCUGCUCACCCACCCACUUCUCCAUGUCUCUACCUUUCUCUUUAAACUUACCUCCUUCACUAUGGGCAACCUUCCACUCGCCAUUCUCCCUUCUUCUCCUUUAGCCUGUGUUCUCAAAAACUUAAAACCUCUUCAACUCACACCUGACCUAAAACCUAAGCGUCUUAUUUUCUUCUACAACACCGCUUGGCCCCAAUACAAACUUGACAAUGAUUCCAAAUAGCCAGAAAAUGACACUUUCGAUUUCUCCAUCCUACAAGAUCUAGAUAAUUCUUGUCAUAAAAUGGGCAAAUGGUCUGAGGUGCCUGACGUCCAGGCAUUCUUUUACACAUCGGUCCCUUCCUAAUCUCUGUUCCCAAUGAGAUUCAUCCCAAAGCUUUCUUCUUUCUCUCCUGUCUGUUCCUUCAGUCUCCACCCCAAGCUCUGAAUCCUGGGAAUCCUCCUUUUCUACAGACCCAUCUGACCUCUACCCUCCUCCCCAGGCUGCUCCUUGCCAGGCCGAGCCAGCUCCCAACUCUUCUUCAACCUCUGCUCCCCCACCCUAUAACCCUUCUAUUACCUCCCCUCCUCACACCCGGUCUGGCUUACAGUUUCAUUCCGUGACCAGCCCUCCCCCACCUGCCCAACAAUUUCCUCUCAGAGAGGUGGCUGGAGCUGAAGGCAUAGCCAAGGUUAAUCCUCCUUUUUCUUUAUCCAACCUCUCCCAAAUCAGUUAGCGUUUAGGCUCUUUUUCAUCAAAUAUGAAAACCCAGCCCAGUCCAUGGCCCGUUUGGCAACAACCCUUAGAUGCUUUACCGCCCUAGACCCAGAGGGGCCAGAAGGCUGUCUUAUUCUCAAUACACAUUUUAUUACCCAACCCACUCCUGACAUUAGAAAAAUCUCCAAAAAUUAGAUUCUGGCCUUCAACCCCCCAACAGUACUUAAUUGACCUCACCUUCAAGGGGUACAGUAAUACAGAAGAGUUGUAAUUACUUGCCUCCGCUGUGAGAGAAACCCCAGCUACAUCUCCAGCACACAAGAACUUCAAAACGCCUAAACCUCAGGGGUCAGGCAUUCCUCCAGGACCGCCUCCCCAGGAUCUUGCUUCUAGUGCUGGAAAUCUGGCCACUGGGCCAAGGAAUGCCUGCAGCCUGGGAUUCCUCCUAAGCCGUGUCCCAUCUGUGCAGGACCCCACUGGAAAUCAGACUGUCCAACUCACCCAGCAGCCACUCCCAGAGCCCCUGGAACUCUGGCCCAAGGCUCUCUGACUGACUCCUUCCCAGAUCGUCUCAGCUUAGCGGCUGAAGACUGACACUGCCCGAUCGCCUCGGAAGCCUACAGGACCAUCACAGAUGCUCUGGAUAACUCUUACAGUGGAGGGUUAAGACCCAAACUGGUUCAAUUGGCAUCUGACGCCCUUUGCAAAUGGCUCUACUCUCCUUCAUCAAUCCAUCACCCAAAGACAGCCUGAUCUAAAAGGAUAGAUUCUUCACACAUGCCAUCCGCACUCCUGCCUUCAUAUGAAGUUACUCCUACUUUUUGGCCACCUCUCCUUCGAAGCCCAGCCUCAACUCCCACCUCCUCCUUCAUGAAGCCCUCCCCAGCCACAUAAGUUCUCAGUAGUCAUUUCUCUGAAUUUUGAGUGUCUUCCUGUCUAUAUAAUGUGUCUGGCACUUUAAGAAACAUUAGACUGUUUUGGAAAAUGCCUUGGGCUUUGGAAUAAAAUAGAGCUGGUGAUGUUACUGACUCCAUCCAUCACCUCUUAUGAAAC
This 2947-nucleotide long non-coding RNA is filed under the name Homo sapiens (human). Its description in RNAcentral is "HSALNT0005106". The record is from RNAcentral. Lineage: Eukaryota; Metazoa; Chordata; Mammalia; Primates; Hominidae.